Molecule: non-coding RNA, 367 nt
Organism: Pelobates cultripes (western spadefoot toad)
Lineage: Eukaryota; Metazoa; Chordata; Amphibia; Anura; Pelobatidae
Source: the annotation of a GenBank genome assembly
AUCUAGUGGCGUUAUCUACUACGGUCAAGAUAUAUGUCUUGUUUGAAGGGCUUGGUCUAGUCAAGGGCCCUACUAAGUCUACAGCUACUCUGCUGAAAGGUUCCUCAAUACUUGGGAGAGGGUGGAGUUUUGCUCCACGGCGGUCUCCUCUCUUACCCACCCCCUGACAGGUGUGACAAGUCUGGCAAUACUGCCGAAUAUCUUUUGAAAUCCCUGGCCAGAAAAAGUUCUGCGUUAACCUGUAUUUAGUCUGGCUGACUCCUAAAUGUCUGGAUAUUGAAAUAUCUUAGGCUGUCCGGAGUAACUCCUGCCUAUAUCUCUGGGGGACUACCAACUGUUUCAUGGUGAUCGGUACGGACCCAGCUAC